This 211-nucleotide long non-coding RNA is filed under the name Mytilus galloprovincialis (Mediterranean mussel). The record is from RNAcentral. Lineage: Eukaryota; Metazoa; Mollusca; Bivalvia; Mytilida; Mytilidae.
UGGCCCAUAGUUUUAGAAAAGAAGAUUUUUGUACAAGUUACAAAAAUGACGAAAAGUUGUUCAAUAUUGACUAUAAAGGGCAAUAACUCCUUAAGGGGUCCUCAAACAAUUUGAUCAUGUUGACUUAUUUGUAGAUCUUACUUUGCUGAACAUUAUUGCUGUUUACAGUUUAUCUCUACCUAUAAUAGUAUUCAAGAUAAUAACCAAAAAC